GCGACCCCAGGUGGGCGGGAU
RNAcentral lists this ribosomal RNA (21 nucleotides) under Microtis densiflora. RNAcentral's name for it is "partial 26S ribosomal RNA". The record is from RNAcentral. Lineage: Eukaryota; Viridiplantae; Streptophyta; Magnoliopsida; Asparagales; Orchidaceae.